AAGUCGUAACAAGGUAACCGUAGGUGAACCUGCGGUUGGAUCAUUAAUAAAAGACGGACUUUAGAGUCCCCUUUAAACGCUAGUGCCUCGUAAAAAGGGCCUAGUUAACCCAUAUGUGAACCGUUUACUUGGUGGGAUUACUUUCGAGUUGCCUACCAGUAAAUAUUAUUUAACCCCGUUUUUAAACCAAGUCUUAUCGAAUGUAAAAAUUUGAAACAACUUUUGACAACGGAUCUCUUGGCUCUC
Molecule: unclassified non-coding RNA, 246 nt
Filed under: fungal sp.
Lineage: Eukaryota; Fungi
Description: partial internal transcribed spacer region
Rfam family: Eukaryotic small subunit ribosomal RNA (bases 1-46)
Source: RNAcentral